Molecule: long non-coding RNA, 151 nt
Organism: Micropterus dolomieu (smallmouth bass)
Lineage: Eukaryota; Metazoa; Chordata; Actinopteri; Centrarchiformes; Centrarchidae
Exons: 3
Source: RefSeq, a predicted model, not a curated record
GGAAAAGGAGACGAUUUCAUUCAGACUUCAUGCACCCCAGAAUAAAUGCUCCUAAUGACCGUGGGCUCUCAAGGGCCUGCUGGUACCCGGGUACUCGAAAGUGCAGUGCGGUGGAAAGGGGGGCACCUCCUCCUUCCCUUCCUCCUCUUUU